RNAcentral lists this small RNA (23 nucleotides) under Arabidopsis thaliana (thale cress). Its description in RNAcentral is "ATSL257910". The record is from RNAcentral. Lineage: Eukaryota; Viridiplantae; Streptophyta; Magnoliopsida; Brassicales; Brassicaceae.
CUUCAUCUUCAUCUUCUUCUUCA